RNAcentral lists this ribosomal RNA (253 nucleotides) under uncultured bacterium. RNAcentral describes it as "partial 16S ribosomal RNA". It matches the Rfam family "Bacterial small subunit ribosomal RNA", at positions 524 to 776 of the family's 1533-position model. The record is from RNAcentral.
UACGGAGGGUGCAAGCGUUAUCCGGAUUUACUGGGUUUAAAGGGUGCGUAGGUGGGCAUGUAAGUCAGUGGUGAAAUCUCCGGGCUUAACCCGGAAACUGCCGUUGAUACUAUGUGUCUUGAAUGCUUUGGAGGUAAGCGGAAUAUGUCAUGUAGCGGUGAAAUGCUUAGAUAUGACAUAGAACACCAAUUGCGAAGGCAGCUUACUACACAGUAAUUGACACUGAGGCACGAAAGCGUGGGGAUCAAACAGG